Molecule: small nucleolar RNA, 66 nt
Filed under: Plasmodium relictum
Lineage: Eukaryota; Apicomplexa; Aconoidasida; Haemosporida; Plasmodiidae
Description: small nucleolar RNA snoR25
Rfam family: small nucleolar RNA snoR25
Source: Rfam by way of RNAcentral
UUUUUAUGAUGAUAAAACAGACCUGAUUUGAAAAAAAUUUGAGAAUAAAUUCUAAUACUGAAAAAA